AUUGAACGCUGGCGGCAUGCCUUACACAUGCAAGUCGAACGGCAGCGGACCUUCGGGUGCCGGCGAGUGGCGAACGGGUGAGUAAUGCAUCGGAACGUGCCCUGGAGUGGGGGGAUAACGUAGCGAAAGUUACGCUAAUACCGCAUAUUCUGUGAGCAGGAAAGCAGGGGAUCGCAAGACCUUGCGCUCUGGGAGCGGCCGAUGUCGGAUUAGCUAGUUGGUGGGGUAAAGGCCUACCAAGGCGACGAUCCGUAGCGGGUCUGAGAGGAUGAUCCGCCACACUGGGACUGAGACACGGCCCAGACUCCUACGGGAGGCAGCAGUGGGGAAUUUUGGACAAUGGGCGAAAGCCUGAUCCAGCCAUGCCGCGUGAGUGAAGAAGGCCUCGGUU
RNAcentral lists this ribosomal RNA (391 nucleotides) under uncultured bacterium. Its description in RNAcentral is "bacterial SSU rRNA". It matches the Rfam family "Bacterial small subunit ribosomal RNA", at positions 29 to 424 of the family's 1533-position model. The record is from RNAcentral.